AGGAUAAGUCGGCGGCUGAUUAGGUAGUUGGUGAGGUAAAGGCUCACCAAGCCUUGGAUCAGUAGGGGGGAUGAGAGUCCUUGCCCCGAGAAGGGCACUGAGACACUGGCCCUAGCCCUAAGGGGUGCAGCAGGCGCGAAAACUUUACAAUGCACGAAAGUGUGAUAAGGGAACUCCCAGUGCUAUGUCUUCGGAUAUAGCUUUUGUCGAGUCUAAGAAUCUCGGCGAAUAAGUGGUGGGUAAGACGGGUGCCAGCCGCCGCGGUAACACCUGCGCCACUAGUGGGGACCACAUUUAUUGGGUCUAAAGCGUUCGUAGCCGGAUUGUUAAGUCUCUUGUGAAAUUGUUGCACUUAAUGUAACAGCGUGCAAGAGAUACUGGCAGUCUUGGGACUGGGAAGAGGCAGAAGUAUUCUAGGGGGAGCGGUAAAAUGUUUUAAUCCCUCGAAGACUACCAGUGGCGAAGGCGUCUGCCUAGAACAGGUCUGACGGUGAGGGACGAAGGCUAGGGGAGCAAAACGGAUUAGAUAC
RNAcentral lists this ribosomal RNA (530 nucleotides) under uncultured archaeon. Its description in RNAcentral is "bacterial SSU rRNA". It matches the Rfam family "Archaeal small subunit ribosomal RNA", at positions 206 to 736 of the family's 1478-position model. The record is from RNAcentral.